Molecule: ribosomal RNA, 553 nt
Filed under: uncultured bacterium
Lineage: Bacteria
Description: bacterial SSU rRNA
Rfam family: Bacterial small subunit ribosomal RNA
Source: RNAcentral
UGGGGAAUUUUGGACAAUGGGCGCAAGCCUGAUCCAGCCAUGCCGCGUGUCUGAAGAAGGCCUUCGGGUUGUAAAGGACUUUUGUCAGGGAAGAAAAGGGCGGGGUUAAUACCCCUGUCUGAUGACGGUACCUGAAGAAUAAGCACCGGCUAACUACGUGCCAGCAGCCGCGGUAAUACGUAGGGUGCGAGCGUUAAUCGGAAUUACUGGGCGUAAAGNGGNCGCAGACGGUUACUUAAGCAGGAUGUGAAAUCCCCGGGCUCAACCUGGGAACUGCGUUCUGAACUGGGUGACUAGAGUGUGUCAGAGGGAGGUAGAAUUCCACGUGUAGCAGUGAAAUGCGUAGAGAUGUGGAGGAAUACCGAUGGCGAAGGCAGCCUCCUGGGAUAACACUGACGUUCAUGCCCGAAAGCGUGGGUGGCAAACAGGAUUAGAUACCCUGGUAGUCCACGCCCUAAACGAUGUCGAUUAGCUGUUGGGCAGCAUGACUGCUUAGUAGCGAAGCUAAGGCGGGAAAUCGACCGGCCUGGGGGAGUACGGUCGCAAGGAUUAA